CAGUAGCCGCGGUAAUACGUAGGUGGCAAGCGUUGUCCGGAAUUAUUGGGCGUAAAGGGCUCGCAGGCGGUUUCUUAAGUCUGAUGUGAAAGCCCCCGGCUCAACCGGGGAGGGUCAUUGGAAACUGGGAAACUUGAGUGCAGAAGAGGAGAGUGGAAUUCCACGUGUAGCGGUGAAAUGCGUAGAGAUGCGGAGGAACACCAGUGGCGAAGGCGACUCUCUGGUCUGUAACUGACGCUGAGGAGCGAAAGCGUGGGGAGCGAACAGGAUUAGAUACCCCCGUAGUCCCUGUCUCUUAUAC
Molecule: ribosomal RNA, 301 nt
Filed under: uncultured bacterium
Lineage: Bacteria
Description: partial 16S ribosomal RNA
Rfam family: Bacterial small subunit ribosomal RNA
Source: RNAcentral